CCGCCGAUCGUCUCGAAAUCCGUAAGGCGAGACUGUAAAUCUUGAGGUCGCUGGUUCGAUCCCGGCUCGGGGGA
RNAcentral lists this transfer RNA (74 nucleotides) under Puccinia triticina. RNAcentral's name for it is "tRNA-Tyr". The record is from RNAcentral. RNAcentral also lists the same sequence under 1 other name. Lineage: Eukaryota; Fungi; Basidiomycota; Pucciniomycetes; Pucciniales; Pucciniaceae.